GGAGGGACUGUAGUUCAGUGGUAAAACAUCUGUUUGGCAUACAGAAAGGCCCAGGUUGAAUCCCCAGGCAUCUCCA
This 76-nucleotide transfer RNA is filed under the name Sphaerodactylus townsendi. RNAcentral describes it as "tRNA-Ala". It matches the Rfam family "tRNA". From Rfam's summary of the family: Transfer RNA (tRNA) molecules are approximately 80 nucleotides in length. Their secondary structure includes four short double-helical elements and three loops (D, anti-codon, and T loops). Further hydrogen bonds mediate the characteristic L-shaped molecular structure. tRNAs have two regions of fundamental functional importance: the anti-codon, which is responsible for specific mRNA codon recognition, and the 3' end, to which the tRNAs corresponding amino acid is attached (by aminoacyl-tRNA synthetases). tRNAs cope with the degeneracy of the genetic code in two manners: having more than one tRNA (with a specific anti-codon) for a particular amino acid; and 'wobble' base-pairing, i.e. permitting non-standard base-pairing at the 3rd anti-codon position. The record is from RNAcentral. Lineage: Eukaryota; Metazoa; Chordata; Lepidosauria; Squamata; Sphaerodactylidae.